This 3051-nucleotide unclassified non-coding RNA is filed under the name Hevea brasiliensis (rubber tree). The record is from RNAcentral. Lineage: Eukaryota; Viridiplantae; Streptophyta; Magnoliopsida; Malpighiales; Euphorbiaceae.
UCUUUUUUUUUUAAUUUUUUUUUUACCAGUACUCUUUCUUUCUUGCUCCCGAUAAUUGUAAGAUUGCAUCUUUGACUGCAAUUGUUCAGUGAUGAUCGGUUGGCUUUUUAUGUUUAUUUUACCGGCUGACUUUUGCAGCUUUUUAUUAGUCUGCAAAUCUUUGUCAUUUUUUGUUUCCUCAAUACCCUUUUCUGUUGAGUUGGUGUCCCUGCAUAGUGUUUUUUUUUUGGUUUUUGGGUUUGUUAAUCAAUCUGGGCUGAUUCUCUGAAAUGAUUGGCACCAUUUGAACGGUAUAAAUGGAUUCAUCAUUGCGACAUUUGUGGACCCUUUUUCGAUUUUUAUACUUGUUUGGGUGUAUAAUUGGCUGAUCGGUUGGUGAUAGAUUGUGAAAGUUGAUCGAAUUCUUUCCGAGCUAACUAGAUCUGGGUCUUGAUUGAGCGUUGGAUGUUGGAUUGGCUUAAAUGGGUAACUUUCUAUAAGAAUUUUAGUGGUUGAAAACUGGAAUAUGCAGAUCUUGGCAAAUUAAUCAUUGAACAGAGUUAAAGAAUAUAAUGGUAACUUAGCCCUUUCUUGUGUGUUUGAAUGAAUUUGAUAGGCAAAAAAGUGGAGAAAUAUAGUGCUAGUAGCUGCUGGCGUGUUUGAUGCGUCAGCUUGGAAGUCUUGAAUUUCAAUCUCAUUAGAAGGUUAUCCAUCUAUGAGUUUGGAAGGGAACUGGAGACUUUUAUUUGCACCAUAUUAGUUGAGCUGGUAAUUGCUGGUCAUAUCAAAACAAUGUCAGCUUAUGCACAUCAAGCGGAGAGGGAGUUCUCUGCUCAUAGUCUCUCAAGUAGAGGAGGCUCUGAUUGUAGAGGUGUGAAGUUGUUGAUGAAUAGCUAGUGGACAUAAUUUACAACUCUGAGAUUGAAACCUUGAAGAUAUCAUGGCGAAAUACAUCAUCAUACAGUUGCUAUCACAAGUUUCUUUGUUAUAUUCAAAUGCCAAAUUAAUUGCAGAAAAAUAUAUAGCAUGGUUGUGGGCCUAUUAAUGGAACAUGGUCUAUUGUAUGUAGUAUAACUCAACUGGGUACUGUAGCUAUCUUCAUUGUACUUCUGCCCCAUGAAGUAAUUGGUUGCUCCUGAUUCAUAUUGAUUUCCCUUUAACAUACUGCAAAUUAUGAUCAGAGUACCUUUUCUCAAUUUUUCUGUUAUAAAUCUUAUACAAUAGUAAUUAUAUUGCAUUUCUUUGUUGCAGAGAUGGGAAGCCGUUAUAUGGUAGAGUCAGGGUUCUACAUGACUUCUUUUGCUGCAACAAUCUUCAUUGGUGCUCUUGUAACUGUUGGAGUUGUAUUCAUCACCCUGCUGAUUGCUUUAUCAGUAAUGUUGCAGUCCUGUGAGAAUAGAAGUAAAGGUGUUAUUGAGAUUCAAAAACCAAAUGAUGAUUACAAUUACUGCAAGAUUUCUGCUCUGCAUGCAGAGCUCAACAACUUGGGACCGGAGGACUUCCCUUCAAUUUGCAGGAGUCUUGCUGUUCAGCACAUCAAAGAAGGUCAAUAUGAGAGAGAAUUAAACAGUAUUAAGCAAUUGGUUGAGAAGUACUUUGACAGUGUUGUUCCAUUAAAUGAUGAACUAGAUGUGGUAUUGAUGGACAUAGAUGACAUUCUUCCUUCAAAUCCUCAAUACGACCAUCCCUUGAUGUACCAGUAAUUUCCUUAUUAUCUUCGUAAUUAUGCCUGCCUUUUUAUUUCCUCUCAUCUUAAGCCAAAGUUGUCAAUGUCUUUAACAUGUUAGAUCAUCAACUUAUUAGCAUUUUCUUAACUUUUACAUUGCCCUCCAAAAGUGACUGUUCAAGUUAGCUCAUGCUUGUCUAGAAGGCCUACAUCUUUCUGUAAAUAGUAAUUAAUAAUUAUAAGCUUAAUGAUAGUUGUCAAUGCUUUUUGGGGGAGAACAGUUGGUUUGUAAAUAUUAAAUAAAAUUGUUGUCCUACAAUUUGCAAGCUAUAAGCUUCUUGGUUGUGGAAAAAGUAGGAUUUUACUAUUUUGCAAUAAAGGCCUAGUGAAAAAUAUAUUAUUUAUAUGCUUGUGUUAACACUAUGUUUGGGAGGAAAUUUUCGAGGUAAGGGUUUUUAAAGUAGUAAAGGUUUGUCUGGGAGGAAGGUUUUUUAAUGAAGGUAAGAUUUUUAGAGGUUUUAAAGCUCCAAAACUCUCACUUUUUCAACCUAUCAAAUUGGUGGUUCGGGAAGGUUUUGAUACUUACCUUUCAUUUCCUUAAAAAAUUUUCAUACACUCCAUCCAAACAUACUGUAAAUUCUGAUUUUGCUUAAAAUUUUCAAAAAUAUGGCUUUUCUUGGACAUAGUUUACUGUUGUAUACCUAUUAUUAUGUGACUCAUCAUUUUAGAAGAAGGAAAAAAUAAUCCUCUUGCUGUUUGGUACAGAUUGAAUCAGUGUGGCUCUAAGUGUUGUUUUGAAGAAGCAAAACAUUUGAAGGAAAUGAUUUUUCUAAGAUUAUAUACAGAGCUUCAAGCUAGAGGGUGGUCUUUUAUUUUGUUAUCAAGGAAGCCUGAUACACUACGAAAUGCCUCCAUAGAUCACCUUAUUUCUGCAGGAUACAGAGGUUGGUCUUCAGUGAUUAUGAGAUCGGAUGAUGAAAUGGAAAUGGAUAGUCGUGAAUAUUUUUUGAGACGAAGGUUGAUAAUGCAGAGAAAGGGCUUCCGUAUCGCAUGUGUGAUUAGCAGCCAGAUGGAUGCAUUAACAGGCCCCUUUUCAGGACAACGCAUUUUUAAGCUUCCUAACCCGAUGUGUUAUUAUUCCAAUCAUCCGAUGGAGAAAAUGUAUGCACCAAAAUUAUGAUGUUCCUUGUUAGCACCUUGAUUUGUUAUUCAGUAGUUCUACAGUUUCUCGCUGUAAAGCCUGCUCGGCCUUUAUCUGAACUACCUGGGUUCUCCUUAAGUAUUUUGUUGUAUAUAGGUAUUGAUAUCAUUGGUUUGAUCGAGUUCAUCACAAUUAUCAUUCAUAUUAUGUGCUAUUAAUUUGGAUCAGUUUUGUUUGAAUUAGUUUUUCCCUAAUUCAGUUCAAU